Octopus sinensis (East Asian common octopus) is the source of this 135-nucleotide long non-coding RNA. RefSeq lists it as uncharacterized. NCBI's taxonomy places the organism in Eukaryota, Metazoa, Mollusca, Cephalopoda, Octopoda, Octopodidae. The transcript has 3 exons. The record is from RefSeq and is a predicted model, not a curated record.
UUGUGAGUGGAUUUGGUAGACGGAAACUGAAAGAAGCCUGUCGUAUAUAUGUAUAUAUAUUCAUGUGUGUGUAUAUGUUUGUGUGUCUGUGUUUGUCCCCCCAACAUUGCUUGACAACCGAUGCUGGUGUGUUUA